AGUUCCCUGGCCUGUACGCCAGCUCAGUAACGUCCCUGAGGCUUUGAUUACAUACCCAGGUGGCUCCUAGUGGAUGUCAGGCGUGCAUGCCCGCCUCGAGCGGGAAGCCCAAGGCAUCUCAGCAGCCACCACCUUGAAAGCAACGCUUUCAAGGGCCACGCCGGGCAGCGGCAGGGUGGGGGACUA
Molecule: non-coding RNA, 186 nt
Filed under: Parendozoicomonas haliclonae
Lineage: Bacteria; Pseudomonadati; Pseudomonadota; Gammaproteobacteria; Oceanospirillales; Endozoicomonadaceae
Description: 6S / SsrS RNA
Rfam family: 6S / SsrS RNA
About the family: E. coli 6S RNA was the first non coding RNA to be sequenced, but its function was unknown until recently. It consists of 184 nucleotides that fold into an extended hairpin structure with a large single-stranded internal bulge.
Source: Rfam by way of RNAcentral